This 1361-nucleotide ribosomal RNA is filed under the name uncultured Bacteroidota bacterium. RNAcentral describes it as "bacterial SSU rRNA". It matches the Rfam family "Bacterial small subunit ribosomal RNA", at positions 44 to 1398 of the family's 1533-position model. The record is from RNAcentral. Lineage: Bacteria; Pseudomonadati; Bacteroidota.
AGGCCUAACACAUGCAAGUCGAGGGGCAGCAUGGUCUUAGCUUGCUAAGGCCGAUGGCGACCGGCGCACGGGUGAGUAACGCGUAUCCAACCUGCCUUACACUCUUGGACAGCCUUCUGAAAGGGAGAUUAAUACAAGAUGUUAUCAUGAGUAAGCAUUUUCGCAUGAUUAAAGGUUUACCGGUGUAAGAUGGGGAUGCGUUCCAUUAGAUAGUAGGCGGGGUAACGGCCCACCUAGUCUUCGAUGGAUAGGGGUUCUGAGAGGAAGGUCCCCCACAUUGGAACUGAGACACGGUCCAAACUCCUACGGGAGGCAGCAGUGAGGAAUAUUGGUCAAUGGACGAGAGUCUGAACCAGCCAAGUAGCGUGAAGGAUGAAGGUUCUAUGGAUUGUAAACUUCUUUUAUACGGGAAUAAACGGAUCCACGCGUGGAUUUUUGCAUGUACCGUAUGAAUAAGGAUCGGCUAACUCCGUGCCAGCAGCCGCGGUAAUACGGAGGAUCCGAGCGUUAUCCGGAUUUAUUGGGUUUAAAGGGAGCGUAGAUGGGUUGUUAAGUCAGUUGUGAAAGUUUGCGGCUCAACCGUAAAAUUGCAAUUGAUACUGGCAGUCUUGAGUACAGUUGAGGUAGGCGGAAUUCGUGGUGUAGCGGUGAAAUGCUUAGAUAUCACGAAGAACUCCGAUUGCGAAGGCAGCUUACUAACCUGUAACUGACAUUGAUGCUCGAAAGUGUGGGUAUCAAACAGGAUUAGAUACCCUGGUAGUCCACACGGUAAACGAUGAAUACUCGCUGUAGGCGAUAUACAGUCUGCGGCCAAGCGAAAGCAUUAAGUAUUCCACCUGGGGAGUACGCCGGCAACGGUGAAACUCAAAGGAAUUGACGGGGGCCCGCACAAGCGGAGGAACAUGUGGUUUAAUUCGAUGAUACGCGAGGAACCUUACCCGGGCUUAAAUUGCAACCGAAUAUGGCGGAAACGCUAUAGCUAGCAAUAGCGGUUGUGAAGGUGCUGCAUGGUUGUCGUCAGCUCGUGCCGUGAGGUGUCGGCUUAAGUGCCAUAACGAGCGCAACCCUUGCCGAUAGUUACUAACAGGUUAUGCUGAGGACUCUGUCGGGACUGCCAUCGUAAGAUGUGAGGAAGGUGGGGAUGACGUCAAAUCAGCACGGCCCUUACGUCCGGGGCUACACACGUGUUACAAUGGGGGGUACAGAGGGCUGCUACCACGCAAGUGGAUGCCAAUCCCAAAAACCUCUCUCAGUUCGGAUUGAAGUCUGCAACCCGACUUCAUGAAGCUGGAUUCGCUAGUAAUCGCGCAUCAGCCACGGCGCGGUGAAUACGUUCCCGGGCCUUGUACACACCGCCCGUC